RNAcentral lists this ribosomal RNA (497 nucleotides) under uncultured bacterium. Its description in RNAcentral is "partial 16S ribosomal RNA". It matches the Rfam family "Bacterial small subunit ribosomal RNA", at positions 28 to 507 of the family's 1533-position model. The record is from RNAcentral.
GACGAACGCUGGCGGCGUGCCUAAUACAUGCAAGUCGAACGAACGGAUAAAGAGCUUGCUCUUUUGAAGUUAGUGGCGGACGGGUGAGUAACACGUGGGUAACCUGCCUCACAGCUGGGGAUAACAUCGAGAAAUGGAUGCUAAUACCGAAUGUGCUGAACAUCCUAAGAUGGUCAAGUGAAAGACGGUUUGGGCUGUCACUGUGAGAGGGACCCCGGCUGGUUUAGCUAGUUGUUAAGGUAAUGGCUUACGAAGGCGAGGAUCCAUAGCCGACCUGAGAGGCUGAUCGGCGACAUUGGGACUGAGCCACGGCCCAAACGCCUACGGGACGCAGCAGUAGGGAAUCUUCGGCAAUGGACGAAAGUCUGACCGAGCAACGCCGCGUGAGCUAAGAAGGCCUUCGGGUCGUAAAGCUCUGUUGUUAGAGAAGAACAUGGGUGGGAGUAACUGUUCACCCCUUGACGGUAACUAACCAGAAAGCCACGGCUAACUACGUG